This is a long non-coding RNA of Adelges cooleyi (spruce gall adelgid), 753 nucleotides long. RefSeq lists it as uncharacterized. The record is from RefSeq and is a predicted model, not a curated record. The transcript is spliced from 2 exons. NCBI's taxonomy places the organism in Eukaryota, Metazoa, Arthropoda, Insecta, Hemiptera, Adelgidae.
UGUUGACUACGUUUGUCGAUAUCCAUUUAUCGUUAAGUGAUUACUGCCGGUGUCUGAACAUUUCGGCAAGAUUAUUACUAAAGACCGAAAACCCACGAGAUAAGUAAGGUCUGCCUUAUCUAACUAUAGGUUUUAAAAAAGCUAAGUAUUGUCAUUACUGCAUAACUUUUUUUUAAAAUGGAUGAUGAUAAUGAUUUAAUAAUGCAAUUAUUUGCUAUCGAAGAGUUGGAACAAAGAGAACUUGACGGAGAAGUAACUAGGCGAACUUAUGAGCCUAUUAAUCCUUUUAAAUAAGAUUCACAAAUACAAGCAAGAUUUUUAAACAAUUUGUAGAAGAAAUGGAACGUAACAGUAAUAAGAAAUUGUUCAACGAAUGAUGAUGUAAAUUAAGUAUAAACAAUAAAAAAGGCAAUCGGUAAAUAUACAUCGUAAUGAAUAAUGAUAUUGUAUUUCAUCAAUUCUGAAAUUUACACAAUCACGUAAUAACAAGAAAAAGAUAGGUUAUUUUCCUUUUUCUUUUACCGAUACUAAAACAAAUUUAAAAAAAAAAUCUUAACAAAUGAGAAUAAUAUAAAAGAUAUAUUUUACUAUACUUAACAAAUUAGUACAUUUUUAACUUAUAAAAUAUAUAUUCUCUAUGAGUUUCUUUUAAAAAUUCAAAACCGUACCACACUAUUGUCUAAAACAGGCCGAUAGUAAAUUAAUAUAAUAAACAUUUUACCCUCCAAAGUAAACUAGUAAAAAAAAAAAAAA